Dendrobium catenatum is the source of this 107-nucleotide small nucleolar RNA. The record is from RefSeq and is a predicted model, not a curated record. Lineage: Eukaryota; Viridiplantae; Streptophyta; Magnoliopsida; Asparagales; Orchidaceae.
AAUGCAUGGUGAGGGAAAUUUUUAAGCAUCUCCUUGAAUCUCUCCUAACUCACAUAAAUACAUUCUUCUUUUAACUGAGUAAAAGAAGUAAUAUCAUUUCUAAGUUU